This 195-nucleotide ribosomal RNA is filed under the name Triticum aestivum (bread wheat). RNAcentral describes it as "rRNA SSU_rRNA_eukarya". It matches the Rfam family "Bacterial small subunit ribosomal RNA", at positions 1166 to 1374 of the family's 1533-position model. Lineage: Eukaryota; Viridiplantae; Streptophyta; Magnoliopsida; Poales; Poaceae. The record is from RNAcentral.
CCACAAUGCGGUUAUGCCUCUAAGUCAUGCAUCGACACGUGGGAGAUAUAGCCGCAUCGUGGGCGUUACAGCAAGGCUGUAAGGCGGAGCUAAUCCGGAAAGAUUACCUUAGUUCGGAUUGUUCUUUGCAACUCGGGAACAUGAAGUUGAAAUCACUAGUAAUCGCGGAUCAGCAAGCCGCGGUGAAUAUGUACC